RNAcentral lists this ribosomal RNA (602 nucleotides) under Enterobacter hormaechei. RNAcentral's name for it is "bacterial SSU rRNA". It matches the Rfam family "Bacterial small subunit ribosomal RNA", at positions 852 to 1454 of the family's 1533-position model. Lineage: Bacteria; Pseudomonadati; Pseudomonadota; Gammaproteobacteria; Enterobacterales; Enterobacteriaceae. The record is from RNAcentral.
CUAACGCGUUAAGUCGACCGCCUGGGGAGUACGGCCGCAAGGUUAAAACUCAAAUGAAUUGACGGGGGCCCGCACAAGCGGUGGAGCAUGUGGUUUAAUUCGAUGCAACGCGAAGAACCUUACCUACUCUUGACAUCCAGAGAACUUACCAGAGAUGCUUUGGUGCCUUCGGGAACUCUGAGACAGGUGCUGCAUGGCUGUCGUCAGCUCGUGUUGUGAAAUGUUGGGUUAAGUCCCGCAACGAGCGCAACCCUUAUCCUUUGUUGCCAGCGGUUAGGCCGGGAACUCAAAGGAGACUGCCAGUGAUAAACUGGAGGAAGGUGGGGAUGACGUCAAGUCAUCAUGGCCCUUACGAGUAGGGCUACACACGUGCUACAAUGGCGCAUACAAAGAGAAGCGACCUCGCGAGAGCAAGCGGACCUCAUAAAGUGCGUCGUAGUCCGGAUUGGAGUCUGCAACUCGACUCCAUGAAGUCGGAAUCGCUAGUAAUCGUGGAUCAGAAUGCCACGGUGAAUACGUUCCCGGGCCUUGUACACACCGCCCGUCACACCAUGGGAGUGGGUUGCAAAAGAAGUAGGUAGCUUAACCUUCGGGAGGGCGCU